GAGAGUUUUUACUCAGUAGCGGACGGGUGAGUAACACGUGAGAAUUUGCCUUCAGGAGGGGGACAACAACUGGAAACGGUUGCUAAUACCCCAUAUGCUUUCGAGUGAAAUGAAUUUAUUCGCCUGAAGAGAAGCUCGCGGCUGAUUAGCUUGUUGGUGGGGUAAGAGCCUACCAAGGCGACGAUCAGUAUCUGGUUUGAGAGGACGAUCAGACACACUGGAACUGAGACACGGUCCAGACUCCUACGGGAGGCAGCAGUGGGGAAUUUUCCGCAAUGGGCGAAAGCCUGACGGAGCAAUACCGCGUGAGGGAAGACGGCCUAUGGGUUGUAAACCUCUUUUUUCAGGGAGGAAUCAAUGACGUGUACCUGAAGAAUAAGCAUCGGCUAACUCCGUGCCAGCAGCCGCGGUAAGACGGAGGAUGCAAGUGUUAUCCGGAAUCACUGGGCGUAAAGCGUCUGUAGGUGGUUGAACAAGUCAACUGUUAAAUCUUGAGGCUCAACUUCAAAAUCGCAGUCGAAACUGUUUGACUAGAGUAUAGUAGGGGUAAAGGGAAUUUCCAGUGGAGCGGUGAAAUGCGUAGAUAUUGGAAAGAACACCGAUGGCGAAGGCACUUUACUGGGCUAUUACUGACACUCAGAGACGAAAGCUAGGGUAGCAAAUGGGAUUAGAUACCCCAGUAGUCCUAGCCGUAAACAAUGGAUACUAAAUGUUGAACAGAUCGACCUGUGCA
Molecule: ribosomal RNA, 733 nt
Filed under: uncultured bacterium
Lineage: Bacteria
Description: bacterial SSU rRNA
Rfam family: Bacterial small subunit ribosomal RNA
Source: RNAcentral